GGAGCUCAGUCCACUGCCUGUGAUGCUCUUGCUGAUUUCACUCAUACCAGUGGUCCAGGCUCAAGAUCAAACCAAAGGAGGCUGCAACAUCAGAUUUGAAUAAAUAAAUUUACACUCAAAUAUUUUUAUGCUGCUUAAAUUUCUAAACAUAUUAAAUAUAAAAUAGCACAAGUUUAACCCUCCUGUAGUCUUCCCUGCUUUUCUGUGCAAUUUAGGAGCACGGAGUCAAACUGAC
Molecule: long non-coding RNA, 235 nt
Organism: Tachysurus vachellii
Lineage: Eukaryota; Metazoa; Chordata; Actinopteri; Siluriformes; Bagridae
Exons: 3
Source: RefSeq, a predicted model, not a curated record